This is a small nuclear RNA of Cimex lectularius (bed bug), 105 nucleotides long. Lineage: Eukaryota; Metazoa; Arthropoda; Insecta; Hemiptera; Cimicidae. The record is from RefSeq and is a predicted model, not a curated record.
AUUCACCACAUUGAACUUCGGUUGUACAUUGGUACGAAACAAAGAAGAUUAACAUGGCCCUUGUGCAAAGAUGACAUGCAAAUUCAUGAAGCAUUCCACAUUUUU